RNAcentral lists this long non-coding RNA (292 nucleotides) under Panax ginseng (ginseng). Its description in RNAcentral is "long non-coding RNA (PGIN_LNC009227)". The record is from RNAcentral. Lineage: Eukaryota; Viridiplantae; Streptophyta; Magnoliopsida; Apiales; Araliaceae.
AGAGAGAGAGAGAGAGAGAGAGAGAGAGGGGAAUACUGAAGUAGAGAGCGAAAGUGAAGAAGGAAACAAGAGGAGAGAAAUACCGAGGGUGGGAGAGGGAGAGGGAGAGGGAGAGGGAGAGGGGGAAGGGGGGUAAGAGAUCUGACAGUGGCGGAAAAGGAGGGCACGCGAAUGGGAGAGAAAAAGGCAGGCAGGCAAACCCCUCUCUUUUUUUGUGACGUAGAAAAGGGAAUGUGCUUAUGUAAUGAAAAUGGUAGUAGUAGUAGUAUUUAAUUUAAAACAGAGAGAGAGA